Molecule: ribosomal RNA, 772 nt
Filed under: uncultured bacterium
Lineage: Bacteria
Description: bacterial SSU rRNA
Rfam family: Bacterial small subunit ribosomal RNA
Source: RNAcentral
AGAGUUUGAUCAUGGCUCAGGACGAACGCUGGCGGCGUGCCUAACACAUGCAAGCCGCACGGGACCCGCAAGCCGUGGCGGACGGGUGCGUAACACGUGAGGAACAUGCCUAUCGGCGGGGGAUAGCCGGCCCAACGGCCGGGUAAUACCGCGUACGCUCAUCGGGGGGCAUCCCCUGGUGAGGAAAGCAGCAAUGCGCCGAUAGAGUGCCUCGCGGCCUAUCAGCUAGUUGGUGAGGUAACGGCUCACCAAGGCAACGACGGGUAGCUGGUCUGAGAGGAUGAUCAGCCACAUUGGGACUGAGACACGGCCCAGACUCCUACGGGAGGCAGCAGUGGGGAAUCUUGCGCAAUGGCCGAAAGGCUGACGCAGCGACGCCGCGUGUGGGAUGACGGCCUUCGGGUUGUAAACCACUGUCGGAAGGGACGAAUGGCCCGCAAGGGCAGUGACGGUACCUUCAAAGGAAGCACCGGCUAACUCCGUGCCAGCAGCCGCGGUAAUACGGAGGGUGCGAGCGUUGUCCGGAAUCACUGGGCGUAAAGGGCGCGUAGGCGGCCCGGUAAGUAGGGGGUGAAAUCUUGCGGCUUAACCGCAAGGCUGCCUUCUAGACUGCCAGGCUCGAGCACAGUAGAGGCAGGUGGAAUUCCCGGUGUAGCGGUGGAAUGCGUAGAGAUCGGGAAGAACAUCAGCGGCGAAGGCGGCCUGCUGGACUGUACUGACGCUGAGGCGCGACAGCGUGGGGAGCAAACAGGAUUAGAUACCCUAGUAGUCC